Long non-coding RNA from Oncorhynchus keta (chum salmon), 4666 nucleotides. RefSeq lists it as uncharacterized. The transcript has 4 exons. The record is from RefSeq and is a predicted model, not a curated record. NCBI's taxonomy places the organism in Eukaryota, Metazoa, Chordata, Actinopteri, Salmoniformes, Salmonidae.
AAAUGUUUUAAUUGAAAACAAUCAUAGUAAGGUAUGUAAUUGUUAUCCAGAAAUGAUUUGAUAUUAAGAUAAAAGCGGAUGCAUUGGACCUUUAAAGAGCAUACAGAAACAAAGUUACAAAAUGUAGGCCUAUCCCAUAUUUGCUAACUACGUUGAACAUGUUUUGUUGUCCACAUUGUUCUAAGUAAUUGCAUGGCUUCAAUAUGGAAAUGUAUUGAUAAACAUAACAGUUGGCUCGGCCUACUGUAAAUCAAAUAAAGGUGUAUUGGUUGUGUACACAGUUUAGCAGAUGUUAUAAUGGUUGCAGCGAAAUGCUUGUAUUACCAGCUCCUAAAAAGGCAGUAAACAUGUCAAACAAGUUAACAAAUAAUAAUAAAAAUAAUUAAAAAAACAAGAAAUCACAAAUGUCAGGAUGAAACCAGUUACAACCUAAAGAACACCGUAUCAGUUAUCCAAAUUAAAUAUAUGUGUAUACUCCAAAAAGAUAUACUACGAAUUAUAUGUACAGUACAGCAGUAGAUAUAUUAGAGUGAGCUAUGUCAAGAAUCCAGUAUAUAAAUACAGGUGGUGUAUAUAAACAGUUUAACAAUAAUACAGUAUAUGAAUAGACAGUGUGAAAACUGUAUAAAAGAUAAGUUCCAGAGUUGAAUGUAUAUUCAUAUAUAUACAUGGGACAGCAGCAUUGGAUGUGUGUGCGUGUGUAUAUGUGAGUGCGGAGUGUGCGUGUGUUAGCUUGUGUGUUUUAACAAUAAUACAUACUACUUUUCACAACACCCAAAAUCACUUUACAUACACAUGAAGAUAUGCAGGAUAAAAAUCUAUAACCACAGUAAGAGGCGUUAUAGAGGCAGGCAUGUGGAAUACCUGAUGAGACUACGUCGUAGAGUAGAUAAACCGCCUCUACCCUCCGUUCUAUUGGCGAACGUGCAAUCACUGGAGAAUAAACUGGACGAGCUUCGUUAAAGACUAUCGUAUCAACGUGAUCUGAAGAACUGUAAUGUCCUAUGUUUCUCCGGGACAUGGCUGAAGAAGGACAGGGGAAAUAUAAAUAUACUGCACAUCUAGCUGGUUUUUCUAUACAUCAGCAGGACAGAAUGGCAGCGUCAUGUCCGAAGGAGGGUGGUGUGUGUCUCUUUACUAACAACAGCUGGUGCGUGAUCUCUAAUAUUAAGGAAGUCUUGAGAUUCUGUUCGUCUGAGUUACCUCAUGACAAUCUGUAGACUGAAAUUCAUCUUACCUAAUUUCUACCAUGAUGUCACCUGUGCAACGAGAGACGGAAAAACUCUCGAUCACUUUUACUCCACACACAGAGACUCAUACAAAACUCUCCCUUGCCCUCAAUUUGGAAAAUAUGACCAUAACUCUAUCUUCCUUCCAAACAGGAAGUACCAGGGGCGUGAUCAAUAGAUGGUCAGAUGAAGUGGAUGCUAAGUUACAUGACUGUUUCGCUAUCACAGACUGGAAUAUGUUCCGGGAUUCAUCUGAUGGCAUUGAGGAGUUUACGACAUCAGUCCCCGGCUUAAUUGACCAUACGUACAUAUACCAACAAGAAGCCAUGGAUUGCAGGCAACAUCCUUAUUGAGCUAAGGGCUAGAGCUGUCGCUUUCAAAGAGCGGGACACUAAUCUGUAAUCAACUAUCUAGCUAGGUACAGCUAUUUAACUUUCUAGCACAGUCACUCACUCAUUUGUUCGUAAACAAUUAACAAGCUAGUUAGCUACCAAAUGUUCUUGUCAAACUGCCAAUUGAGUAGCAAGCACAAGAUCUGCCAAAUGACAGUCUAAAAAACACUUGAGGGCAAAUCAAUCAGAUUUGACCGUUCAGACACAAGUCACAUGUCCAGGAAUUAGAUUUGAAUCUGAUUUUAAACCACCUAUGAAGGUGUUGCUUGAAAUAUCUGAUUCCAUGUGCCUUUUGGCUGUUCAGACUGCAGGUAAAAAUAACAGAUUAGAAUUAGAUAUGCAAAAAACUAGGAUUUGAGUCACUUCAAACAGUGUGAACAAGGCUCUGUGAUGUUGUCAGCAAACUGGAUGAUUGAGCCAAAGGCUGAGCCAUGGACAUGCCAACCAUAGUCAAUAAGCAAGAUGAAAUUCACUAUUGAUAAGGCAUAAAAAAAGAGUGAAUCAUUCUUAUCAAAUUAAAAACGAAACAACUUGUUUAAAAUAGGCUAAAUACAGCUACAGACACCAUAAUUGCUCCCCGUGGGCAUAUAAUAUCGCCGUAACGCAGAACGUGGAGCUUCUUAUGCAUUUCCCAACUUUUCACAGACGCUGGGCAAAGAUCCAAUAUAAAAAGCAUUUCCACUCACCUUUCUACUGAUCCCAAAUAUAAUGUUUUAUAAACAUAAUGGAAAGAUAAACGUGCACGACUCCACCUUAUAUGAAUUUACAUCGGGUGCUAGAUCCUCGUAUAUAAUCCAAAGAACAGAAUUAGGACAGCACUCGGGUAAAUAAACCUCCAUUGACAUAUAAACAUAUUGGACCCCAUUUUACAGAUCGUGUUCACGCUUCUCCAGAAAUAGCAGACUGUUCCUAAAUUCCAUUGCAUGCGAGCUGGACAUUUUCAUCAUAAAGCCAGGGCGGUGUUUGUUUUUUAAUCAAAUUAAACGAAAAACAAGCCAUUGUUUCAGGAAAAUAAGUUCUGAAUACAAGGGUCACCAGCAUCAUCUCAUCUCUCUUUUCAUGAUGGCAAAUGGACAGAUAGCCUACAUGGAGGGGUUUUACGCACGGGCUAAAACAAUGUAGGCCUAGAUCAAAAGGGAUUUCCGUUCAUUUUUUUUGCUUAACUUUAAUUAAGAUUUAUUUCAAAGCAGUCUUACGAGUCAAAUCCUUGAUUGAUAAGCUUGACUACUUUGCGAACGCAUUGGGCAGGACCCCCCCAAAAUGCCUUCAUUGAGGGCAUAUAACGCUUGGUUUUAAAUCAAAUAAAACCAAAUGGAGAAGAAAAACAGUCGUUUUUGAUGUUUAUUAAUGUGAGGGUUACCAUCUCCUCUUGGGCACUGUGCAUUGUGGCUGGAUAGGUUGCGCUUUCACUCACAAAAUCCAUGCCGUCACAAACCACCAUGUUAACGCUUCGAUCACACCGACAGUGUUUUUGCAUUUUGGUAAAUCCAACAUAUGCACCACACCGAACGCACAAACGCAGCGUUUCAUUGGAAAUUAAUGUAAUUAUGGUGUACCAAAAUGCAAUGAUGUGGUGUACCAGAUGUGGUUCACCAGAAGUACAUUAAUAUCCAAUUAAACGCUGCGUUUGGUGUGGUGCAAAGCAGCGCCAUCUGGAUAUGUUUGCAACAAAAGUUCAACAUUCACCUUCUGCUACCAUUUCUGUCAAGCCAUCUACACAUACAGUUUGACACAUACAUUCGAUAAAUCAAAUUUAUACAACACACAGAACACACUGCAACUGCCUCUGCAAUGCAAUGUUGUGUUUGCAGCAUUCCAUUGGAAAUGAAUGUACUUGUGGUGUACCAAAAUGCAUUGAACAGAGUACUGAAUGGACAAAGGUAAUGUUUGUAAAGCAAGAUGGAGGAGAGCUUGUCUCUGCUGAGAGAUCACAUUUAUUUGGGGAGAUUGCAAAGUAUGACCUUUUCAUUCGAGACAGGAUGAAUAUAUAGUUUCAGGUGAUAAUAAAACAUGAUAUGUUUAGUUUAUUUUUCCUCAACUUGUUUCUGUAACUUUAUUGCAAGUCAAGCUAGCUAAAAGCCAGGCUAGGUUGCACUGCAGAGCAGCUAGCGAGCUAAAAGCCAGGCUAGGUUGCACUGCAGAGCAGCUAGCGAGCUAAAAGCCAGGCUAGGUUGCACUGCAGAGCAGCUAGCUAGCUAAAAGCCAGGCUAGGUUGAAGAUUAAAUUGUGGCUAGCGACCUCCACCUAACAAUUAGCAUUAAAAAUAACUUCACAAAUAUAAAAAAAAAAGUCAUAUAUAGUACUUGGCUUAACAGUCCAUGUUUAUUAUUUAACAUUACUAUUAAAAUGGUAUUCACUUAUAGAAAUUGGUAAUUGCUUACAAAUUGCUAGCUAUCCCAUAAAGCCAUCACAGAAAACACAUAUUUUCAUCUUCUUCUAUGUUUUGGUAACUCCCUGUUCUUCGAUGGACUCUGGCUUUACUGAAGACGACUCAAAGUUUUAAAAAUGUAAAAGUUGCGGUGUCCGUCUCACAACGGAGUCUUGAACCUCAAGGGGGCGUUGCGUUUUCACACCAUUGUGGACGUCUCCAUUGAAAUGCAUGACAUGCGGUGCAACGUAACAGAGUGCUUAUGGGUAAUGUGAAUGAGGCUUAAGACCUGCUUUUCAUUGGUCUUAAAUCUCCCAAUAUGCACCACAUGAAAUUGCCACUUAUUUUAAAAUGACACAUCUGAAAUAUUUCCACUCUUCCCACCUUAGCGCAAGCGAGCUGAUAUUGACAGGUAAAUUGAUGAACCUGGUGCAUGGGUUGGAAAACGCCAGAGCGACAGUUUUUACAUGCUGAAAUUGCAAACUAUCUGUGUUAGGUAAAUAGCAGCCAGGUCACCUGUGAUUACAAGUGAGUAUUCGACAUCCAUCCAUGUCUGAUGAUAUCGGGAGAUGGCUUGGAAACCUGCCACCAGGGGCAAAAGUGAGCGCUGUUACCUUCAAGUAAGUUUGGGUUUUGCUUGGUUUACUAACUACAAAUACAGCAAUAGAAAGUUGGUU